Molecule: ribosomal RNA, 607 nt
Filed under: uncultured bacterium
Lineage: Bacteria
Description: bacterial SSU rRNA
Rfam family: Bacterial small subunit ribosomal RNA
Source: RNAcentral
CCUACGGGAGGCAGCAGUGGGGAAUAUUGGACAAUGGGCGAAAGCCUGAUCCAGCAAUUCCGCGUGUGUGAAGAAGGCCUUCGGGUUGUAAAGCACUUUAGUUGGGGAAGAAACAGCUUGGCCACACCAAGCCUUGACGGUACCCAAAGAAUAAGCACCGGCUAACUCUGUGCCAGCAGCCGCGGUAAUACAGAGGGUGCAAGCGUUAAUCGGAUUUACUGGGCGUAAAGGGUGCGUAGGUGGUUUUGUAAGUCGGAUGUGAAAGCCUGGGGCUCAACCUCAGAAUUGCACUCGAUACUGCAAGACUAGAGUUCGGUAGAGGGCGGCGGAAUUCCCGGUGUAGCGGUGAAAUGCGUAGAUAUCGGGAGGAACAUCAAUGGCGAAGGCAGCCGCCUGGGCCUGAACUGACACUGAGGCACGAAAGCGUGGGUAGCAAACAGGAUUAGAUACCCUGGUAGUCCACGCUGUAAACGAUGAGAACUUGACGUUGGUUCAUUUUACGAAUCGGUGUCGCAGCUAACGCGAUAAGUUCUCCGCCUGGGGAGUCGGCGCAAGGUUGAAACUCAAAGGAAUUGAGGCUGNGNGNGCGAGCGACGACGAGGAGAGG